Molecule: ribosomal RNA, 646 nt
Filed under: Piloderma olivaceum
Lineage: Eukaryota; Fungi; Basidiomycota; Agaricomycetes; Atheliales; Atheliaceae
Description: eukaryotic LSU rRNA
Rfam family: 5.8S ribosomal RNA (bases 252-406)
Source: RNAcentral
UUAGAGGAAGUAAAAGUCGUAACAAGGUUUCCGUAGGUGAACCUGCGGAAGGAUCAUUAUUGAAAUUAUAGGUGAGGGUUGUAGCUGGCCUCUCGGGGCAUGUGCACGCCCGAGCCCUUAAUCCACACACACCUGUGAACCUAUUGUAAGGGCCCUUAAAAAAGGCCUUUACGUCUUAUCAUCAACCCAUCGUAUGUCUCAUAGAAUGUAAAUAUAUGUCCCCGCCUUAAAAAGCGUUGAUAAACUUAUACAACUUUCAACAACGGAUCUCUUGGCUCUCGCAUCGAUGAAGAACGCAGCGAAAUGCGAUAAGUAAUGUGAAUUGCAGAUUUUCAGUGAAUCAUCGAAUCUUUGAACGCACCUUGCGCUCCUUGGUAUUCCGAGGAGCAUGCCUGUUUGAGUGUCAUUAAAUUCUCAACUCUGAUCGAUUUGUUUCGACUUCGGAGCUUGGAUUUGGAGCGUGCUGGCGUCGGUCGGCUCCUCUUAAAUGCAUCAGCGGAAUCUAACGUUUCGGACGUCAGUGUGAUAAUCAUGUUGCGCUGUCUGUCUGAUCUGAAAGCCCGCUCACAAUGGUCUUCGGACAACUUCAUAUCAAAUUUGACCUCAAAUCAGGUAGGACUACCCGCUGAACUUAAGCAUAUCAAUA